UACGUAGGGUGCGAGCGUUGUCCGGAAUUACUGGGCGUAAAGAGCUCGUAGGCGGUUUGUUGCGUCGGCUGUGAAAUCCCGAGGCCCAACCUCGGGUCUGCAGUCGAUACGAGCAAACUAGAGUGUUGCAGGGGAGACUGGAAUUCCUGGUGUAGCGGUGGAAUGCGCAGAUAUCAGGAGGAACACCGAUGGCGAAGGCAGGUCACUGGGCCGCAACUGACGCUGGAGGAGCGGAAAAGCAUGGGGAGCGAAACAGG
RNAcentral lists this ribosomal RNA (257 nucleotides) under uncultured bacterium. RNAcentral's name for it is "partial 16S ribosomal RNA". It matches the Rfam family "Bacterial small subunit ribosomal RNA", at positions 524 to 776 of the family's 1533-position model. The record is from RNAcentral.